RNAcentral lists this ribosomal RNA (484 nucleotides) under uncultured bacterium. Its description in RNAcentral is "partial 16S ribosomal RNA". It matches the Rfam family "Bacterial small subunit ribosomal RNA", at positions 28 to 523 of the family's 1533-position model. The record is from RNAcentral.
GACGAACGCUGGCGGCGUGCUUAACACAUGCAAGUCGAACGAUGAAGCCGGAGCUUGCUCUGGUGAAUUAGUGGCGAACGGGUGAGUAACACGUGAGUAACCUGCCCUUGACCCUGGGAUAACUGCUAGAAAUGGUAGCUAAUACCGGAUACGACCCUCGGCGGCAUCGCCAGGGGGUGGAAAGAAUUUCGGUCAAGGAUGGACUCGCGGCCUAUCAGCUAGUUGGGGAGGUAACGGCUCACCAAGGCGGCGACGGGUAGCCGGCCUGAGAGGGUGACCGGCCACACUGGGACUGUGACACGGCCCAGACUCCUACGGGAGGCAGCAGUGGGGAAUAUUGCACAAUGGGCGCAAGCCUGAUGCAGCAACGCCGCGUGAGGGAUUACGGCCUUCGGGUUGUAAACCUCUUUUAGUAGGGAAGAAGCGAAAGUGACGGUACCUGCAGAAAAAGCACCGGCUAACUACGUGCCAGCCGCCGCGGUAA